Molecule: transfer RNA, 66 nt
Filed under: Pentatoma semiannulata
Lineage: Eukaryota; Metazoa; Arthropoda; Insecta; Hemiptera; Pentatomidae
Description: tRNA-Leu
Source: RNAcentral
ACUAUUUUGGCAGAUUAGUGCAUUAAAUUUAGAAUUUAUUUAUGUAAUAUUUUAUUACAAGUAGUA